GCGCCUUGCAGAAACGUCUCGCUCUUGCUGAAAAGGCGAAGGAAAAACACAUGGAGGAACUCCAGGCCGCACAUAAAAACGUCACACAACUCCAGGAUGAGUUGCAGACCACGACAAGGAACUACGAGAAUCAACUGAGUAUGAUGAGUGAGCAUCUGUGCAGUAUGAAUGAGAAACUCACCUCACAGAAGGAUCAAAUCGAUGCGCUGAAACUCACUGCUAAACCGAGCAAGAAAGGCAAGAAUAAGUAACGCAGAGGCUCAGCAUUUACACAAUCUACAGUCUCUGAUCGAUGGCAUGACAUCAUCCUAU
Asterias rubens (European starfish) is the source of this 312-nucleotide long non-coding RNA. RefSeq lists it as uncharacterized. The record is from RefSeq and is a predicted model, not a curated record. NCBI's taxonomy places the organism in Eukaryota, Metazoa, Echinodermata, Asteroidea, Forcipulatida, Asteriidae. The transcript is spliced from 3 exons.